This 215-nucleotide long non-coding RNA is filed under the name Homo sapiens (human). RNAcentral's name for it is "HSALNT0221027". Lineage: Eukaryota; Metazoa; Chordata; Mammalia; Primates; Hominidae. The record is from RNAcentral.
GGCAGACUCAGCCCCCAAUUGGAGCUAUGUGCUAGCCCUGUGAUCCUAGACAGGUUGCUCUGCGUCUCUGAGUCUCCGCUUCCUCCUCUGUAAAAAGGAGGAUGAAAGGCUAAUGGCCAGGAGAGAACGGGACAGAAGAUCAAACUACUGAGUCAGGGGCAGGAGAAGAAGAGGAGGUCUGGAGAUUGUACUACUCGAUUUUUUAUGUGGUGAUU